Molecule: non-coding RNA, 45 nt
Organism: Schistosoma mattheei
Lineage: Eukaryota; Metazoa; Platyhelminthes; Trematoda; Strigeidida; Schistosomatidae
Source: Rfam
AUCCAGUUGACAAGUCCCAAAUAGGAUGAAACACGCGUCCUGGAU